AGAGUUUGAUCCUGGCUCAGGACGAACGCUGGCGGCGUGCUUAACACAUGCAAGUCGAACGGUGUACAUUUAGGAGCUUGCUUUUGGAUGUACAUAGUGGCGGACGGGUGAGUAACGCGUGAGGACGUGUCCUAUACAGGGGGACAACAGAUGGAAACGUCUGCUAAUACCCCAUAAGCCGAGAGGUAAAAGGAGCAAUCCGGUAUAAGAGCGACUCGCGUCCUAUCAGCUAGUAGGCGGGGCAACGGCCCACCUAGGCGAAGACGGGUAGCCGGACUGAGAGGUCGACCGGCCACACUGGAACUGAGACACGGUCCAGACUCCUACGGGAGGCAGCAGUGGGGAAUAUUGGGCAAUGGAGGCGACUCUGACCCAGCGACGCCGCGUGAGUGAAGAAAUCCCUCGGGAUGUAAAACUCUGUUGUACGGGAAGAUGAAAAAGACGGUACCGUACGAGGAAGCCCCGGCAAACUACGUGCCAGCAGCCGCGGUAAUACGUAGGGGGCGAGCGUUGUCCGGAAUUACUGGGCGUAAAGGGCGUGUAGGCGGCUCUAUAAGUCCGGAGUGAAAGUCCUGCUUUUAAGGUGGGAAUUGCUUUGGAGACUGUAGAGCUUGAGUGCGGAAGAGGUAAGUGGAAAUUCCCAGUGUAGCGGUGAAAUGCGUAGAGAUUGGGAGGAACACCAGUGGCGAAGGCGACUUACUGGGCCGUAACUGACGCUGAGGCGCGAAAGCGUGGGGAGCGAACAGGAUUAGAUACCCUGGUAGUCCACGCAAUAAACGAUGAAUGUUAGGUGUAGGGGGUAUCGACCCCUCCUGUGCCGGAGUAAACACAAUAAACAUUCCGCCUGGGGAGUACGGCCGCAAGGUUGAAACUCAAAGGAAUUGACGGGGGCCCGCACAAGCAGCGGAGCAUGUUGUUUAAUUCGAAGCAACGCGAAGAACCUUACCAGGUCUUGACAUCGAGGAAAAGCUACAGAGAUGUAGUGUGAGCUUGCUCAUCCGAAGACAGGUGGUGCAUGGUUGUCGUCAGCUCGUGUCGUGAGAUGUUGGGUUAAGUCCCGCAACGAGCGCAACCCUUAUGGUCAGUUACUAACGCGUAAUGGCGAGGACUCUGACAAGACUGCCGGGGACAACUCGGAGGAAGGUGGGGACGACGUCAAAUCAUCAUGCCCCUUAUGACCUGGGCUACAAACGUGCUACAAUGGUGGUUACAAAGAGCAGCGAGCCUGUGAAGGUAAGCGAAUCUCAAAAAAGCCAUCUCAGUUCGGACUGUGGGCUGCAACCCGCCCACACGAAGUUGGAGUUGCUAGUAAUCGCGGAUCAGAAUGCCGCGGUGAAUACGUUCCCGGGCCUUGCACUCACCGCCCGUCA
This 1370-nucleotide ribosomal RNA is filed under the name uncultured bacterium. Its description in RNAcentral is "bacterial SSU rRNA". It matches the Rfam family "Bacterial small subunit ribosomal RNA". The record is from RNAcentral.